UGGGGAAUAUUGCACAAUGGGCGCAAGCCUGAUGCAGCCAUGCCGCGUGUAUGAAGAAGGCCUUCGGGUUGUAAAGUACUUUCAGUCGGGAGGAAGGUGGUAAGGUUAAUAACCUUAUCAAUUGACGUUACCGACAGAAGAAGCACCGGCUAACUCCGUGCCAGCAGCCGCGGUAAUACGGAGGGUGCAAGCGUUAAUCGGAAUUACUGGGCGUAAAGCGCACGCAGGCGGUUGAUUGAGUCAGAUGUGAAAUCCCCGGGCUUAACCCGGGAAUUGCAUCUGAUACUGGUCAGCUAGAGUCUUGUAGAGGGGGGUAGAAUUCCAUGUGUAGCGGUGAAAUGCGUAGAGUUGUGGAGGAAUACCGGUGGCGAAGGCGGCCCCCUGGACAAAGACUGACGCUCAGGUGCGAAAGCGUGGGGAGCAAACAGG
RNAcentral lists this ribosomal RNA (429 nucleotides) under Chloroflexota bacterium. Its description in RNAcentral is "Chloroflexi bacterium partial 16S ribosomal RNA". It matches the Rfam family "Bacterial small subunit ribosomal RNA", at positions 355 to 776 of the family's 1533-position model. Lineage: Bacteria; Bacillati; Chloroflexota. The record is from RNAcentral.